RNAcentral lists this ribosomal RNA (914 nucleotides) under uncultured bacterium. RNAcentral describes it as "bacterial SSU rRNA". It matches the Rfam family "Bacterial small subunit ribosomal RNA", at positions 8 to 916 of the family's 1533-position model. The record is from RNAcentral.
AGAGUUUGAUCCUGGCUCAGGAUGAACGCUGGCGGCGUGCCUAACACAUGCAAGUCGAACGGAGUUCUUAAGGAAUGCGACUUCGGUCAAAUGACUUUUGAACUUAGUGGCGGACGGGUGAGUAACGCGUGAGCAACCUGCCUUUCAGAGGGGGAUAACAUUUGGAAACAGAUGCUAAUACCGCAUAAGAUUACAGUACCGCAUGAUACAGUGAUCAAAGGAGCAAUCCGCUGAAAGAUGGGCUCGCGUCCGAUUAGAUAGUUGGUGAGGUAACGGCUCACCAAGUCGACGAUCGGUAGCCGGACUGAGAGGUUGAACGGCCACAUUGGGACUGAGACACGGCCCAGACUCCUACGGGAGGCAGCAGUGGGGAAUAUUGCACAAUGGGCGAAAGCCUGAUGCAGCAACGCCGCGUGAGGGAAGACGGUUUUCGGAUUGUAAACCUCUGUUUUCGGUGACGAAUAAAUGACGGUAACCGAGUAGGAAGCCACGGCUAACUACGUGCCAGCAGCCGCGGUAAUACGUAGGUGGCAAGCGUUAUCCGGAAUUACUGGGUGUAAAGGGAGCGCAGGCGGGAUAGCAAGUCAGCUGUGAAAACUAUGGGCUCAACCCAUAAACUGCAGUUGAAACUGUUAUUCUUGAGUGGAGUAGAGGCAAGCGGAAUUCCGAGUGUAGCGGUGAAAAGGGGUAGAUAUUCGGAGGAACACCAGUGGCGAAGGCGGCUUGCUGGGCUCUAACUGACGCUGAGGCUCGAAAGUGUGGGGAGCAAACAGGAUUAGAUACCCUGGUAGUCCACACUGUAAACGAUGAUUGCUAGGUGUGGGGGGUCUGACCCCCUCCGUGCCGGAGUUAACGCAAUAAGCAAUCCACCUGGGGAGUACGGCAGCGAGGUUGAAACUCAAAUGAAUUGACGG